UACGUAGGGACCAAGCGUUGUUCGGAUUUACUGGGCGUAAAGGGCGCGCAGGCGGCUGCUCAAGUCAGGCGUGAAAGGCCUGGGCUCAACCCGGGAAUUGCGCUUGAGACUGGGCUGGCUUGAGUGCGGGAGAGGAUGGUGGAAUUCCCAGUGUAGAGGUGAAAUUCGUAGAUAUUGGGAAGAACACCGGUGGCGAAGGCGGCCAUCUGGACCGCAACUGACGCUGAGGCGCGAAAGCGUGGGGAGCAAACAGG
This 254-nucleotide ribosomal RNA is filed under the name uncultured bacterium. Its description in RNAcentral is "partial 16S ribosomal RNA". It matches the Rfam family "Bacterial small subunit ribosomal RNA", at positions 524 to 776 of the family's 1533-position model. The record is from RNAcentral.